This 253-nucleotide ribosomal RNA is filed under the name uncultured bacterium. RNAcentral's name for it is "partial 16S ribosomal RNA". It matches the Rfam family "Bacterial small subunit ribosomal RNA", at positions 524 to 776 of the family's 1533-position model. The record is from RNAcentral.
UACGUAGGGUGCGAGCGUUGUCCGGAAUUAUUGGGCGUAAAGAGCUCGUAGGCGGACUGUCACGUCUGCUGUGAAAAGCUAGGGCUUAACCCUGGCCUUGCAGUGGAUACGGGCAGACUAGAGGUAGGUAGGGGAUAAUGGAAUUCCCGGUGUAGCGGUGAAAUGCGCAGAUAUCGGGAGGAACACCGGUGGCGAAGGCGGUUCUCUGGGCCUUACCUGACGCUGAGGAGCGAAAGCGUGGGGAGCGAACAGG